Molecule: ribosomal RNA, 494 nt
Filed under: uncultured bacterium
Lineage: Bacteria
Description: partial 16S ribosomal RNA
Rfam family: Bacterial small subunit ribosomal RNA
Source: RNAcentral
GACGAACGCUGGCGGCGUGCUUAACACAUGCAAGUCGAACGGUGAAGCGCCUUCCUUUUUGGUGGGUGUGGAUGAGUGGCGAACGGGUGAGUAACACGUGAGUAACCUGCCCCCUUCUUCUGGAUAACCGCAUGAAAGUGUGGCUAAUACGGGAUAUUCUGGGUCUGUCGCAUGAUGGGUCUGGGAAAGAUAUUGUUUCUGUGGGGGAUGGGCUCGCGGCCUAUCAGCUUGUUGGUGGGGUGAUGGCCUACCAAGGCGGUGACGGGUAGCCGGCCUGAGAGGGUGGACGGUCACACUGGGACUGAGACACGGCCCAGACUCCUACGGGAGGCAGCAGUGGGGAAUAUUGCACAAUGGGCGCAAGCCUGAUGCAGCGACGCCGCGUGAGGGAUGGAGGCCUGCGGGUUGUGAACCUCUUUCGCCAGUGAAGCAGGCCUGCCUCGUUUGUGGGUGGGUUGACGGUAGCUGGAUAAGAAGCGCCGGCUAACUACGUG